UGAGGAAUAUUGGUCAAUGGGCGCGAGCCUGAACCAGCCAAGUCGCGUGAAGGAAGAAGGCUCUAUGGGUCGUAAACUUCUUUUAACCGGGAAUAAAAGAGAUGACGAGUCAUCUAUUGCAUGUACCGGUAGAAUAAGCAUCGGCUAACUCCGUGCCAGCAGCCGCGGUAAUACGGAGGAUGCGAGCGUUAUCCGGAUUUACUGGGUGUAAAGGGCGUGUAGGCGGGACUGUAAGUCAGAUGUGAAACCCAUGGGCUCAACCCAUGGCCUGCAUUUGAAACUACGGUUCUUGAGUGAUGGAGAGGCAGGCGGAAUUCCCUGUGUAGCGGUGAAAUGCGUAGAUAUCGAGAGGAACACUCGUGGCGAAGGCGGGUUCCUGGACAUUAACUGACGCUGAGGUACGAAGGCUAGGGUAGCGAAAG
RNAcentral lists this ribosomal RNA (422 nucleotides) under uncultured bacterium. Its description in RNAcentral is "bacterial SSU rRNA". It matches the Rfam family "Bacterial small subunit ribosomal RNA", at positions 355 to 774 of the family's 1533-position model. The record is from RNAcentral.